GAUGAACGCUAGCGAUAGGCUUAACACAUGCAAGUCGAGGGGUAACAUGGGAGUAGCUUGCUACUUCUGAUGACGACCGGCGGAUGGGUGAGUAACGCGUAUGCAACUUGCCCCUUAGUGGGGAAUAACCCGGAGAAAUCCGGACUAAUACCGCAUACACUUAGUUAUCCGCAUGGAUGAUUAAGGAAAGAUUUAUUGCUAAGAGAUAGGCAUGCGUUCCAUUAGUUAGUUGGUGAGGUGAUGGCCUACCAAGACGAUGAUACGUAGCCGACCUGAGAGGGUGAUCGGCCACAUUGGGACUGAGACACGGCCCAA
RNAcentral lists this ribosomal RNA (315 nucleotides) under uncultured bacterium. RNAcentral describes it as "bacterial SSU rRNA". It matches the Rfam family "Bacterial small subunit ribosomal RNA", at positions 28 to 334 of the family's 1533-position model. The record is from RNAcentral.